This 3015-nucleotide long non-coding RNA is filed under the name Mus musculus (house mouse). RNAcentral's name for it is "long non-coding RNA chr9:28616176-28619191". Lineage: Eukaryota; Metazoa; Chordata; Mammalia; Rodentia; Muridae. The record is from RNAcentral.
UCUCUCUCUCUCUCUCUCUCUCUCUCUCUCUCUCUCUCUCUCUCUCUCUCUCUCUCUCUUUCUCUCUUUCUUUCUUCAUACAGCUACCUUGCAUGCCUCUUUCUAGAAGGACAAUUUGUCAGGUGCCUUUCCAGCAUGCCCCAAGAGGCCAUCUCUUUGCCUGCUAUUCCCUUUGUAGACUGUUUCUUUGCACAUCAAGCAUUGGCAUUGGUGGUUCAUGUUCUUUUGUCUUCUUUUCCUCUGGCUGAGUCAGGACACAUACAGGCCCCAGCUUUUAUAAUGACUUCCCAGUCUCCCAGCAGGAUUACAGAUACCUCAUUAAUAGCAUUGGGAGCAGCACACCACACUAAGUGUCUCACAGACACAGGCUCUCUACUAUGCUGUGGCCUCCUGAAGAAUUCUUAACAUUGUGUCUAUAGGGCAGAUAAGACUCUGGCAUUAAUACGAAUGAAUGAAUGAAUGAAUGAAUGAAUGACAAAAAAGUGGAACUACAGAUUGCAAAGCAUCAAUUAGAACGGGUAAAUUUCCUGAAAAGAAACAGUUUGUAUGAACGGUUUAGAACUUCAGUUUUAUUUGAAUGGUUUCUAGCCAAAUUAUCUGUAAAGACCAUUUUAAUUUAUUUAUCUAGAAUUGUGUUGUUAUUUGGUCUCACUCUAUAAUUCUUUAGGUGAAGCUAUUAGAAAAGACUGACAGGCAUGUGUUGAAUUGUGGUUAUUUAAAAACAAGUCUACAUAUACAAGGUAACAUCAUUAUUGUGUGACAUUUUAAGGAGAAUAUUAUAAAUAGGUCACCAUUGACUAUGCUGUAUCUCCAGCUAAUUUUCUUGCCAGUUAUCUCAAUAAUUGGAUCCUGGGCCAGUCUUUAACAGAAGGAGACUUGACAAUAAAAUGGACAUUUAGGAACUGUCUCUCCAUAAUUCUAUCUGGAAUAAGUCCUUGGGAAAUAGUGAGCCAAUUAGAGGCAGAUGUGCUGGUGAGGUUUUGAAAGACACACCACUGAACAUGCAAAGACUUUUAAAGGCCUGGCUUCAUCAAGAAUUUUGAUGUGACAAUCUCAUUUGGAGAAACCAGUUUGGUUUUUGUUUUUGUUUUUGUUUUUAAUUGCAAGGAGAUUCUAAAGACUUUAGGGCAAAUAUUUAGGCAGAGAAAUGUGGAAUCCACAAAGGGCAACUAUCACUUUGGGGCACAAAGUAAACAUUGGAAACCCACUACUCAUGAGAAUAGUCAGAGCUCCCUUCAAGGCGUGGCCAAGGCAGGCUAGCUGGUGGCUCCAGACAGGCCAUCUAUUGCAUAUUUAAACUAUUUAUAUGACUCAGGACUUGAUCAUCAGCUCCUCUAAAACAUGGGCUGAUCAAUGUCUCUCUCAUGGGCUGGAUUCCCUUGAAGUUGGCAUAUAAAAUCUAGCAGACUCAGGAAUUGACAUCUCUUCAUUCUGUGAAGUUAUUUGUGUUCUGUGAUACACAUCUUCACUCUGAGCUAUGCCUCCACUUCAGUACAUGCAGAGAGAAUAGAGAGUCAUAUAUCUAGAUGGUUGGACAGUUUCAGUGUGUUCACCACAGUAGUCAUUGCAUGGACUCAACUCAGACCUUUCUAGAAGUAUCUAUGACAGGGCAAAUGACCAUUCCUGGCUAGAAUUUGUCUUCCCCCAAGAGAGCUCAUCUGUGUAUGAACCUGGACCCUGUUUCUUCAGUACCAUCUGGUGAUGUUGGAAGAGAGCCCUGACAGACCUUUGUUUAGAAGGAGACAACAUUUUCAGCAUUUUAUUUCCAUUCGAACUGAUUUCUGAGCAGGUGACUCACUCUCUGCCCCUUCUGGACUCUCCAUGGGUAGAUUUAGAGUUGGGAUGGUUAUUUAUCUGAGGGUUGAAGGUAUGAGAAAGAACCUACCAGGUGGAAGUGAACAGGAGAUUAUGUUUUCUCAGAUGCCCUUCUGGGUCCUCUUAUGGUGCAAAUAUGGCAGAACAUACAAACAACCCUUCGGUUUGUAGCUCUGCCAUAUUACUGUUUUUAUAGUAGCAAUAAUAGAGUAGGAACAAUUUCAUUGUAGCUAAGAAAAAAUGAGCCCUUACAUUUGGAACAGAGUUCAUGUGGCAUGUGACCUCUGGUCACUGUCUCAUUCUUCCAGACAGUUCCAAAUUCUGGAGGUCAAGAUGUUACUGUGCCUUUUCCAAUACCAGCCAAAGCAAAGGUACAAGCGAACCCUUUGCCAGGAUUCAUGGCUUCACAGCACAUGGAUAAUGGUCUAGUUCUCUGUCUUAUUCAAAAGCCUUCUGUUCUUCCAAAGGAGAAUGACACUGCCUCUGACUGAAUGGAAAGGUGUAUUUUAGAGAUCUUUCCAGCCCCUUGUUCAGGCCAGGAACACACCAGAGCCUUAUCAGAAGUUGCCAGUCGGGGUCUUGUCUAGAGCUCUGCUCUAAGAACCUCUAAUUUCUCCACAGAAUUGCCUGUCUUAGGAAGAUGCUGAGUAUACAGAGCCAGAAGCAUGAGUCUUGGCUUCUCACUUCCUCCCACAGCAUGCAAGGAGUCUGAGGCAUAUGUCCAAAUGGUCAUCUUCCCAGAACAGUGAAAACAGGAUAUUUUUGGUCUGGUAGAUGAUGACUUCCUUUUCACUGAGACUCUGUCCUCUUCACAUUCUAUCACCCUUCUUGCCAGUUGGUAAAGAGUAAGCCCUGGGUUAAGGGAAAGUAAAUAAGGACCCAGGAGUUUUGGUUACUAAACUGGUUCUCAUGUGGUUCCCACUAGCUGUCAUGCACAGUGAGGUCAUUAAUAUCCCAGGCCAUAGGGAGCACAGGAAUAUUCAGCCCAUUUAGAUGGAUCAUAAGACUGCCAAAAGAUAGGGUUCUAUCAGGGCUGGAUAGAUGGCUCAGCGGUUAAGAGCACUGACUAUUCUUCCAGAGGUUCUGAGUUCAAUUCCCAGCAACAACAUGGUGGCUCACAACCAUCUGUAAUGGAUCUGAUGCCCACUUCUGGUGCUUCUGAGGUCAGCUACAGUGUACUCAUAUAAAUAAAAUAAAUGU